GUACACAAAAAUGCACAUACUGUGAGCUCGAUGAGUAGGGCGGGACACGUGGUAUCCUGUCUGAAUAUGGGGGGACCAUCCUCCAAGGCUAAAUACUCCUGACUGACCGAUAGUGAACCAGUACCGUGAGGGAAAGGCGAAAAGAACCCCGGCGAGGGGAGUGAAAAAGAACCUGAAACCGUGUACGUACAAGCAGUGGGAGCCUCUUAAUGGGGUGACUGCGUACCUUUUGUAUAAUGGGUCAGCGACUUAUAUUCUGUAGCAAGGUUAACCGAAUAGGGGAGCCGAAGGGAAACCGAGUCUUAACUGGGCGUUAAGUUGCAGGGUAUAGACCCGAAACCCGGUGAUCUAGCCAUGGGCAGGUUGAAGGUUGGGUAACACUAACUGGAGGACCGAACCGACUAAUGUUGAAAAAUUAGCGGAUGACUUGUGGCUGGGGGUGAAAGGCCAAUCAAACCGGGAGAUAGCUGGUUCUCCCCGAAAGCUAUUUAGGUAGCGCCUCGUGAAUUCAUCUCCGGGGGUAGAGCACUGUUUCGGCAAGGGGGUCAUCCCGACUUACCAACCCGAUGCAAACUGCGAAUACCGGAGAAUGUUAUCACGGGAGACACACGGCGGGUGCUAACGUCCGUCGUGAAGAGGGAAACAACCCAGACCGCCAGCUAAGGUCCCAAAGUCAUGGUUAAGUGGGAAACGAUGUGGGAAGGCCCAGACAGCCAGGAUGUUGGCUUAGAAGCAGCCAUCAUUUAAAGAAAGCGUAAUAGCUCACUGGUCGAGUCGGCCUGCGCGGAAGAUGUAACGGGGCUAAACCAUGCACCGAAGCUGCGGCAGCGACACUAUGUGUUGUUGGGUAGGGGAGCGUUCUGUAAGCCUGUGAAGGUGUACUGUGAGGUAUGCUGGAGGUAUCAGAAGUGCGAAUGCUGACAUAAGUAACGAUAAAGCGGGUGAAAAGCCCGCUCGCCGGAAGACCAAGGGUUCCUGUCCAACGUUAAUCGGGGCAGGGUGAGUCGACCCCUAAGGCGAGGCCGAAAGGCGUAGUCGAUGGGAAACAGGUUAAUAUUCCUGUACUUGGUGUUACUGCGAAGGGGGGACGGAGAAGGCUAUGUUGGCCGGGCGACGGUUGUCCCGGUUUAAGCGUGUAGGCUGGUUUUCCAGGCAAAUCCGGAAAAUCAAGGCUGAGGCGUGAUGACGAGGCACUACGGUGCUGAAGCAACAAAUGCCCUGCUUCCAGGAAAAGCCUCUAAGCAUCAGGUAACAUCAAAUCGUACCCCAAACCGACACAGGUGGUCAGGUAGAGAAUACCAAGGCGCUUGAGAGAACUCGGGUGAAGGAACUAGGCAAAAUGGUGCCGUAACUUCGGGAGAAGGCACGCUGAUAUGUAGGUGAAGUCCCUUGCGGAUGGAGCUGAAAUCAGUCGAAGAUACCAGCUGGCUGCAACUGUUUAUUAAAAACACAGCACUGUGCAAACACGAAAGUGGACGUAUACGGUGUGACGCCUGCCCGGUGCCGGAAGGUUAAUUGAUGGGGUUAGCGGUAACGCGAAGCUCUUGAUCGAAGCCCCGGUAAACGGCGGCCGUAACUAUAACGGUCCUAAGGUAGCGAAAUUCCUUGUCGGGUAAGUUCCGACCUGCACGAAUGGCGUAAUGAUGGCCAGGCUGUCUCCACCCGAGACUCAGUGAAAUUGAACUCGCUGUGAAGAUGCAGUGUACCCGCGGCAAGACGGAAAGACCCCGUGAACCUUUACUAUAGCUUGACACUGAACAUUGAGCCUUGAUGUGUAGGAUAGGUGGGAGGCUUUGAAGUGUGGACGCCAGUCUGCAUGGAGCCGGCCUUGAAAUACCACCCUUUAAUGUUUGAUGUUCUAACGUUGGCCCCUGA
This 1875-nucleotide ribosomal RNA is filed under the name Escherichia coli. RNAcentral's name for it is "partial 23S ribosomal RNA". It matches the Rfam family "Bacterial large subunit ribosomal RNA", at positions 375 to 2238 of the family's 2925-position model. Lineage: Bacteria; Pseudomonadati; Pseudomonadota; Gammaproteobacteria; Enterobacterales; Enterobacteriaceae. The record is from RNAcentral.